RNAcentral lists this long non-coding RNA (6977 nucleotides) under Homo sapiens (human). RNAcentral's name for it is "non-protein coding MEF2C-AS1:16". The record is from RNAcentral. Lineage: Eukaryota; Metazoa; Chordata; Mammalia; Primates; Hominidae.
AAGCAAUUCUCUGCCUCAGCCUCCCGAGUAGCUGGGAUUACAGGUGCCUGCCACCACGUCAGGCUAAUUUUUGUAUUUUUAGUAGAGACGGAGUUUCACCAUCUUGCCCAGGCUGGUCUUGAACUCUUUACCUUGUGAUCCACCCGCCUCAGCCUCCCAAAGUGCUGGGAUUACAGGCAUGAGCCACCGUGCCCAGCCCACAACAUGAUGUUUUGAAGUAUACAUACACUGUGGGAUAGUUAAGUCUAGCUAAUUAACAAAUGUGUUACCUCACAUAGUUAUCAUUUUUGUACUGAGAACACUUAACAUUCACCAUCUUCUCAUUUUUAAAUAAUGUAAUCUAUCGUCAUUAACUAUAGUCACCAUGCUGUACAAUAGAUCUCUUGAACUUAUUUCUCCUAUCUAAUUGUAAUUAUAUAUCCUUUCAUCCACAGUCAUAUUGAUGAUUAUUUAGCAUAAAUUGUUAACAAAGAUCUUUUUCUAUUUUAGAACAGAUUGGAAGAAUGCGAAAUGUUAUUAGACACAGGCACAGCAUAGCAGUAGAAACAUCUUAACUGAGAACUUGGAACUGAAAGAGAAAGCAACCAACUUAAAGGGCAGACAAGACACAUGGUUAUGUAACACAGCAGUGGGUAUUCACAGUGAUGACACAAGACAAAACAAUUACAUUUUCAUUCUAAAAGUAAUUUUUAAGGAGGCAAGGGCAUUUAUAAAACAUUUUAGAAACUAUUUAAUAAAAAUGGUAAAAUUAAAGUGUUUGUUUAUGUACUCAACAAAUAUUUAUUUGGAAAGUGCAUGCCUGGGGGCACAUCUCGUUAAUGAGGUGAUCCUGUGUUUAGAACUGAAGGCAGUCCUCAUCCAUUCUCUCAAAAGGUGACCUUCUUUGUUCUUCUUAUAGCCUCACCACAUUUAAUUUUCAGAGGUUUUGACAUAAAUUAAAAACAUUCUUUGGUAGAUUGUAUUGUAUGAAAACAAUCUUCAAAAGUGUAAGCAUUGAUAUCUGGAAUAUCUGGGAAAAUGUACAAUAAAGACAUCUCUUCUGGUCUUUUACUCUCUGCUCUCCUCCUCUUGACAUGCCUCAAACACACCAAUCAUUUGCACUUGGGAAAUCAACCCUCACUAGCAAAUUACUCCUGCCAACAAAAUAACCCAAUCAGCAUGCAAAACUGGUAGCGAGCUGGGAGAGGGCGAUGAGAGUGGUGUUCACAUGGCUCCCUCUGUUUCCCUUUCCCCAGGUCUGGGCACACACUGUCAGUCAGUGGCCCCUGACUCAGAAAGAGGUUUGAUUUAAACCAUUUCAUUUUCUGCUCUCAGACUGGGAAUUUAUUUAAUAUGAAUGUCAUCAUUAUAACAAAACUCAACUGUAUUCUAGCAAAAAUUUGGCUGAUCUAUGAAGAAUAUUGGAAGGAGAAUCUGUGAACCCAAAAAUACUAGACCACUGCUUAUUCAGUUCUGCAAUUUUGUCACUUUAAUGGACUCUUCAGAGUGCCAAAUCACUAGUCCUACUGACUAUACAAAAAUUGGCCAUCAACAUGCCUGCCUCCAACAAAUUGUGUGUCUGUAACCAGCUAAUGAGCUGCAACAGAGCCUGGCCUUCAUUUUCAGCAAAUUAAGUUCAUCCCUCAUAGGAAUUGUGGUCUGGCUGUGGCACCGCUCCUAGGUAUGGGUGGGAUUUGUUUCUUCUAGCAGUUGUAGGUUAGCCACAUGGGUACGUGCUGUCGCACCACACAACAAAAUUUUCUCUAUAAUAACCAGUCUAAGUAGGCUUUUACCCCACAAAAGUAGAUCCCAUUUAAUUUACUUUGUGUUUAUAGCACUCCCUCUCAAACCGCACCAUUACAUGACAAACUCCAAAAGGAAACCCAAGCAGCUAUUUGGCUCCCUUAAUUAAUGAAGUCGCCCAGUAUGGAUAAUUCAGCCCUUGAGCUUCCCAGCACACAACUACUAAGAAAAGAGAAAGCCAGAAAGGGAAAUUGAAAUGCAGUCUCAGAUUGCGUUCUCUAAACAUGAAUAUGCCUUUGGGGGAAGACAGAAGAACAUGGAAGCCAUGUGAAAAAAACGGAUCCUAAGGUAUAAACAAAGUGCAGAUGAUUGUCGGCCAUGCUGCAGGGAUUUCUUGUUUGUCUUCUCAGUAGUGUUAGCUAAUUUUGUCUUCCAAUCCGCAAUUCCUUAUAGGACUUGGACGCUUUGAACCUCUCAGGACCCCUCAGAUUCUAGUACAUAAACUCACACAGAGUUUGUCCAUUAGUUUUAUUACUUAAGGGGAAUCUAGUGAGAAAGUGGUGUCAUGCAUUUUUCUGUAGAAACUAUUGUGUAGUAUUGUACUGUGAUGGAAAUACACAGAGACAUUGGAGAAAAUUCUCAGGCAGAAAUGAUGUUACUUUCGGACAAGUUAUGUGUGUACAUAUACGUUACAUUUAGCCUGAUUCUCCUGGGAAGCUCUUCUGCUGGACCUUCCCAUUGAACUCUGGGAUAUCCUGGAUACCAACAGGCAGCAGUGCCUCAUGUGCAGCAUCUCUGCAUUUGGAUCUUGAGCUGCUUUGAUAAGUUCCUCUGAUUAAAUGCAGUUGCACUAUCAUACCCUCUGAAAACUGCUGGUGGAAAUAUUAAAACAAUCACUCAGUUUCCCAUGUUACAAAUCCCCAGAUCUUAUUGCAUCGUGUAAAUAAGCUGCUUCCCUCCCACAAAAAGUAAGACACAGAGCUCUUAGAAACAACAAGAGUGCAACACUUCUGUGGGAAGCCUGAGAAAAGGUGCUCUGGUAGACGGAAUUCUAAGGUGCCCCUAAGAUUCCCUCCUUCCAGUGCAUAACCCCUUCUUGAGUAUGAGCAGGACAAGUGAAUAUGAUGAAAUAUCACUCUGGUGAUUUUGUUAUAUUAUAUGGCAGAAGGGAUUUCGCAGAUGUAGUUAAGGUCCCUAAUCAUUUCACUUUGACUUAAUCAGAGAGAGAUAAAUCUGGGUGAAACUGACUAGUCAGGUGAGCCCUUAAUAGAGAUCAGAAAGAUUGGAAGCACUAGAGAAAUUCUCCUGCUGUCCUGGAAGAAGUAGGUUGCUGUCCUGGAAGAAGUAAGUUUCUGUGUGGUGAGAGGGUCUAUGCAAGAGGUUGCAGGACAAAGACCUGAAGGCGGGUUCUAGCAGCUGAGUGUAGUCCCUAGCGAAUAGCUAGCAAGAGAAUAGGGUUAUUGAUCAUUUCUUUGUCUCAGUAUCUUUUCAUCAGUACCUAAUUUGCUUGUUUUAUUUUAGUUGUCAAUACCUGGUGAGAUCAAUCCUCAGAUCAAUGUCUAGCUCCCUUUAAAAAAAAAAAAAAAAAACUCUUGUAAUGCUAUGUUGAUGGUCAGACGAUUAGCUAUAUUAAAGAGAUGGCUUAAAAAUCAGAGUACAUUUCUGCAGAUUAUUGAAGGGAAUUUUUAUUUUAUCUCCCCUUUAUUUUUUAGGCUUUCAAUCUGUAUUUUACUAAGUUAGAUUUUACGGUGUUAUCUCAGGCUUACAUGAAGCCUAGUAACAUGCCCUUUAUAAAGCUAGCCUCAAGUUAGCAAAGGUCUGUAUAGUUACAGAAAUUUGAAGUUGAACAUCUAACAUUGAUUAUGCACUUAAAUUUAAAAUGCAGGAAUUCAAUAAAAUGAUCCAUUGACAAAUAUAAUGAGUGCCUUUUCUAAGCUCUAUAAAAGUUGCAUGUAGAAACAGUGAUUGCCUCCGAUUACCUUACAGUCUGAGACAACCACAGCACCUGGUAUAGCUGAAUGACAGGACACAUGUAAAAAGUGUUAACUAGCAACCAGAGAUAGCCUACAAUAAGAGCUCAGUGGGUAGUACAAAGCAUUGAAAAGAACAACUUUCAAGUCAAAAGAAUCAAGGUGAAGAGAAUGGAUACUCAUGCCCAUGUGAAUUUGCUGCCCCAAGUCUACUGGAGGAUCAAGCUGCAGGUUUCAAUAGCUAUAGCCUGAAGAAUCUCUGUAAUGAACUAAAACAAUCAGUAAAAGAUCAGUUGCAGUGGAAGACAUUAUACUCUAGAUUUUUCUAGUAUUAUUAAAUUUGAAAAUGAUUUAUUCCAAAUUUUAACUUAGCUUUUAAUUUUACUAGUGUCAAAAUGUUGUACUACUUUGGACAACUGAUUUUUCCAAUAGAGAGUCAAUAGCAUCUUUGCAGGGUGGUUUAAAUUUAAUAUAAGCAUUUUACCCAGAUGUAUUUUUUCCCUAGAUAGAUUUCAGAAGGGCAGUUUUGAACAUCUGGAGGCCUGAUUUAUUGGAGAUUGCAAAUGUACAGUGUAACAUAGCUGUGGAGAGAUCUGCCAAUCAAUAAUCCCAUUUAACACAAUUUAUGAAUUAUGUUGGUUUUCAAAAAGUUUUUUCUGCCGUGUUCAUUUUGAUCAUUUUACUCCUUCUUGUCGGGAAUUGGUCUACCUUAUCAAAGAAGACAAAAUUUUUAUAAUACUAAACCACCAGUCUGUGCUUAGAGGCAGGACGUCUUAGGAAAUCCUUUCCUCUCCUUUCUGACAUUAAUACAGUCAAGGCUGUCUUCUCUUAGUUGCUUUGUGAGGCAAAGGAAAAUAAAGGUGAUGAAAUGCUAGUCACUAAUUUGUACUCAAGCAAAAUAUUUGGUUGAGAGAGAACUUAAAAAUUUAACCACAACAAAACUUGUAAGAGUUUUUGUCUUAAAAAUAACUUAAUUCUCACAAUGGAUAUCUUUGGUGCCCUCAUUACAUCCCCUUGGCCACAUAUGCUUGUGGCCACAAUUGCAUUUCAUGGUUGGUUUCUUGUAAGCCCAGGCAUAACUUCUCUCAGGAUGGUGGUUUCCUAUCUUAAGCACUUGGUUGGUAUCUUUCAGCUUAUAUCCUCUGGGCUUUCUCAGCUAUGCUGGCAUUUCACCCGAGAAGAUCAGGAUUGUCAAUGCUGUCAUUGCUUUUACUGGAAUCCCCAGCACGAAUUGAAGGUACAAAGAAGCAAAUGCUAUCAAUUAACAUUCACAUGUGGUAGUUUACAGCUUAAUAAUUAUUUUGGGGGAAAUUAUUCAUAUUACUUUUAACACACAAUUACACCAUGGAAUGUACUUCAUUCAAUGUGAGAUGGGAAAUGUAAAGUAUAAAGAUCACUGGUUUUGUAGGGAACCUAUCAAUAAGGAAGUCAGGGCUUAGUUGAUGAUCGCCAUGGUCAUAGUACUGAAUUCAGAGAGAAAUGCAGAUCCCAUGAAUUCAGAACUCAGUGCACUUCAGAGUGAAAUGACUGUCUUGUAAAGCGAUUUUCAUAUUAAGACUAACUCUUGUUAAUACUGAUGCAAAAUCAUAUCCAACACCUUGUAUUUAUGUGAUGCUUCACUUUUCUAAAAGGAAUUUCAAUUAUUUGAUAUUGUCUCACUUUGCCACCUAGGCUGGAUGCAAUGCAACGGUAUGUUGAUCUUGGUUCACUGCAGCCUCAACCUCCUGAGCUCAUGUGAUCCUCCCACCUCAGUCCCCCACGUCGCUUGGAUUACAGGCCUGUGCCACCACACCUGGCUAACUUUUUUUGUAAUUUUUGUAGAGACAGGGUCUCACUAUGUUUCCCAUGCUGGUCUUUAAUGCCUGAGCUCAAGCCAUCCGCCUGCCUCGGCCUCCCAAAUUGCUGGGAUUACAGGCAUGAGCCACCAUGCCCAGCCUAAUUCUUCUAAAUCUUAUCCUAGUAAUUAAGCCAGAAUUUUUCUCUGCCAAGACCAAUAGAUGGACCAAGAAGUACUCAUCCUUGUAAACUUUCUUUGGAUAAAUUGCUUACAUAUAAUAAAUUCAGAGUUAAGGGGCCCUGCAAGAAGAAUUUUUUAAGGUCUAAACACUUAAGAGUGGUCCUGUCCAUCUGAUCAUUGAUGUAUUCUUAGGUACCCCAAAAUAAAAUGAAUAACUAAUAAAUUGUAUAAUAUAACAGGAUCUAAGCACUAAAAAAAAGUGGAAUGGGGCUGAGAGUUGAUUUUCAUUUGGCAGCUGCUAGACAUGAUCUUGGACUCUCAAGGUAUUCCUGGCCACCAGGUAAGACAAGUAAAGUUAUGAUGCAAGCCACAAAUAUGACAAUCCCUCAAGAUGCAUUGUUCAGAUGACACUUUCAAUUUUAACUACAGUAGAGCCCAACCUCACAUUUCUACGGAGGUUUCAGCAUUUUCUUAACUCAUUUUCUGUUGCAUUGAUACCACAAUGUGUGCUCCAUAUGUGAAAGUAAAGUUAAGCUAUUGAUAUUAUUUUGGAAUUUUUUUCACUUUUAACCUAACUUUAAACCAUGUGCUUUAUUUUUCUCUUCCAGCCUAGCAGGAGUGAAGACCAAAAGACAACUAUCAUGUUUGGGAUCACUUUUCCAACAAGGAGGUUUCUGAAAGACAUGACAUUUUCAUUGGAAGUCUCACAGUUAAAGAAAUAUCACUGAAAACACAUUAGACUAACAGUAGGCCCAGCUAGAUUCUAUAGCCUUGGACAAUUUUGGAUGGGCAAAGCAAGGCAAUUCGUUGGGCCUCAGUUUCCUCAUUCAUAAAUUGAGGCUGAACUAAGUUAUUGGAGGGGUCUUUUCUGUUCCAAAACUUGUGAGACAAAGUCCUUCAGAUAAUCAUUUAUAUUUUCUCAGCCACUGCAGGCUUGGUUUCAAGACUGUGAUCCACUAAGGUCAGGAGAUCGAGACCAUCCUGGCUAACAUGGUGAAACCCCGUCUCUACUAAAAAUACAAAAAAUUCACUUGGUGUGGUGGCCGGCGCCUGUAGUCCCAGCUACUCAGGAAGCUGAGGCAGGAGAAUGGCCUAGUUCCGACUGUGUUGCCCUCUCCUUCAGCUACAGUUACAGUUAUAGUGCUUUCUAGAUUCUGGGAACUCCUCCCUUUCCUGCUCCUUCAGGCCUAGGAAUGGUAAUACUUCCUAAUUGUUGCCAAGUCUAGUGUAUUUUACAGUCCUCUAUUUUUCCGUUUUAACCUUACUGUUAUCUGAGUAGGUCAUCUCCUUCCUGCCAAGUCAUUAACUGGUACAGGAGGGAGAAGGAG